UGGGGAAUAUUGGACAAUGGGCGAAAGCCUGAUCCAGCAAUGCCGCGUGAGUGAUGAAGGCCUUAGGGUUGUAAAGCUCUUUUACCCGGGAUGAUAAUGACAGUACCGGGAGAAUAAGCCCCGGCUAACUCCGUGCCAGCAGCCGCGGUAAUACGGAGGGGGCUAGCGUUGUUCGGAAUUACUGGGCGUAAAGCGCACGUAGGCGGCUUUGUAAGUUAGAGGUGAAAGCCCAGGGCUCAACCCUGGAAUUGCCUUUAAGACUGCAUCGCUAGAAUUGUGGAGAGGUAAGUGGAAUUCCGAGUGUAGAGGUGAAAUUCGUAGAUAUUCGGAAGAACACCAGUGGCGAAGGCGACUUACUGGACACAUAUUGACGCUGAGGUGCGAAAGCGUGGGGAGCAAACAGGAUUAGAUACCC
This 415-nucleotide ribosomal RNA is filed under the name uncultured bacterium. Its description in RNAcentral is "bacterial SSU rRNA". It matches the Rfam family "Bacterial small subunit ribosomal RNA", at positions 355 to 787 of the family's 1533-position model. The record is from RNAcentral.